CAAUAGCGUAUAUUAAAGUUGUUGCGGUAAAAAAGCUCGUAGUUGGAUUUCUACCGAAGAUAGCCGGUCGGGUCUUCGACUUUGUAUCUGGUUUUGUCUUUGGUAUCCUCAUAGGGAACGUUUCUGCGCUUUAUUGCGUGGUGCGGUAUCUAUGACUUUUACUUUGAGGAAAUUAGAGUGUUCACGGCAGGCAAACGCCUUGAAUAUAUUAGCAUGGAAUAAUAACAUAGGAUCUUCGUCCUAUUUUGUUGGUUUCUAGGGCUAAGAUAAUGAUUAAUAGGGAUAAUUGGGGGCAUCUGUAUCAACGCGUCAGAGGUGGAAUUCUUGGAUUGCGUUGCGACAAACUACUGCGAAAGCAUUUGCCAAGGAUGUUUUCAUUGA
RNAcentral lists this ribosomal RNA (381 nucleotides) under uncultured eukaryote. Its description in RNAcentral is "partial 18S ribosomal RNA". It matches the Rfam family "Eukaryotic small subunit ribosomal RNA", at positions 592 to 976 of the family's 1831-position model. The record is from RNAcentral.